This 478-nucleotide ribosomal RNA is filed under the name uncultured bacterium. RNAcentral's name for it is "partial 16S ribosomal RNA". It matches the Rfam family "Bacterial small subunit ribosomal RNA", at positions 28 to 523 of the family's 1533-position model. The record is from RNAcentral.
GACGAACGCUGGCGGCGUGCUUAACACAUGCAAGUCGAACGGUAAGGCCCUUCGGGGUACACGAGUGGCGAACGGGUGAGUAACACGGGGGUGAUCUGCCCUGCACUUCGGGCUAAGCCUGGGAAACUGGGUCUAAUACCGGAUAGGACCACUGCCUGCAUGGGUGGUGGUGGAAAGCAUUUGGCGUGUGGGAGGGGACCGCGGCCUAUCAGCUUGUGGGUGGGGUGAUGGCCUACCGAGGCGACGACGGGUAGCCGGCCUGAGAGGGUGACCGGCCACACUGGGACUGAGAUACGGCCCAGACUCCUACGGGAGGCAGCAGUGGGGAAUAUUGCACAAUGGGCGCAAGCCUGAUGCAGCGACGCCGCGUGAGGGAUGACGGCCUUCGGGUUGUAAACCUCUUUCAGCACCGACGAAGCGCAAGUGACGGUAGGUGCAGAAGAAGGACCGGCCAACUACGUGCCAGCAGCCGCUGUAA